RNAcentral lists this ribosomal RNA (763 nucleotides) under Russula foetens. RNAcentral describes it as "partial large subunit ribosomal RNA". It matches the Rfam family "Eukaryotic large subunit ribosomal RNA", at positions 70 to 809 of the family's 3401-position model. Lineage: Eukaryota; Fungi; Basidiomycota; Agaricomycetes; Russulales; Russulaceae. The record is from RNAcentral.
CAGGAUUCCCCUAGUAACUGCGAGUGAAGCGGGAAAAGCUCAAAUUUAAAAUCUGGUGGUCUUUGGCCAUCCGAGUUGUAAUUUAGAGAAGCGUCUUCCGCGCUGGACCAUGCACAAGUCUCCUGGAAUGGAGCGUCAUAGAGGGUGAGAAUCCCGUCUUUGGCAUGGACCCCCAGUGCUUCUGUGAUGCGCUCUCAAAGAGUCGAGUUGUUUGGGAAUGCAGCUCAAAAUGGGUGGUGAACUCCAUCUAAAGCUAAAUAUUGGCGAGAGACCGAUAGCGAACAAGUACCGUGAGGGAAAGAUGAAAAGCACUUUGGAAAGAGAGUGAAACAGUACGUGAAAUUGUUGAAAGGGAAACGCUUGAAGUCAGUCGCGUCGACCGAGACUCAGCCUUGCCUUGGCUUGGUGUACUUCUCGGCUGACGGGUCAGCAUCAAUUUUGAUCCUUGGAUAAUGGCAAGGGAAAGGUAGCACCUUUACAGGUGUGUUAUAGUCCUCUGUCGGAUGCAAGGGUUGGGAUUGAGGAACUCAGCACGCACCUUGUCGGUGUCGGGGCCUUGGCCUACGUUACGUGCUUAGGAUGCUGGCAUAAUGGCUUUAAACGACCCGUCUUGAAACACGGACCAAGGAGUCUAACAUGCACGCGAGUGUUCGGGUGGAAAACCCGUGCGCGUAAUGAAAGUAAAAGUUGGGACCUCUGUCGUGGAGGGCACCGACGCCCGGACCAGACCUUCUGUGACGGCUCUGCGGUAGAGCGUGUAUGU